CCCGGUGGCAAUAGCGAAGGGGCAACACCCGUUCCCAUUUCGAACACGGAAGUUAAGCCCUUCAGCGCCGAUGGUACUGCCCUGGCGACGGGGUGGGAGAGUAGGACACUGCCGGGA
Molecule: ribosomal RNA, 117 nt
Filed under: Bacillota bacterium
Lineage: Bacteria; Bacillati; Bacillota
Source: RNAcentral